Molecule: ribosomal RNA, 497 nt
Filed under: uncultured bacterium
Lineage: Bacteria
Description: partial 16S ribosomal RNA
Rfam family: Bacterial small subunit ribosomal RNA
Source: RNAcentral
GAUGAACGCUGGCGGCGUGCCUAAUACAUGCAAGUCGAGCGAACAGACGAGGAGCUUGCUCCUCUGACGUUAGCGGCGGACGGGUGAGUAACACGUGGAUAACCUACCUAUAAGACUGGGAUAACUUCGGGAAGCCGGAGCUAAUACCGGAUAAUAUAUUGAACCGCAUGGUUCAAUAGUGAAAGACGGUUUUGCUGUCACUUAUAGAUGGAUCCGCGCCGCAUUAGCUAGUUGGUAAGGUAACGGCUUACCAAGGCGACGAUGCGUAGCCGACCUGAGAGGGUGAUCGGCCACACUGGAACUGAGACACGGUCCAGACUCCUACGGGAGGCAGCAGUAGGGAAUCUUCCGCAAUGGGCGAAAGCCUGACGGAGCAACGCCGCGUGAGUGAUGAAGGUCUUCGGAUCGUAAAACUCUGUUAUCAGGGAAGAACAAAUGUGUAAGUAACUAUGCACGUCUUGACGGUACCUAAUCAGAAAGCCACGGCUAACUACGUG